This 616-nucleotide ribosomal RNA is filed under the name uncultured Bacilli bacterium. Its description in RNAcentral is "bacterial SSU rRNA". It matches the Rfam family "Bacterial small subunit ribosomal RNA", at positions 97 to 701 of the family's 1533-position model. Lineage: Bacteria; Bacillati; Bacillota; Bacilli. The record is from RNAcentral.
UGCGAACGGGUGAGUAACGCGUAGGUAACCUGCCUCUUAGCGGGGGAUAACUAUUGGAAACGAUAGCUAAUACCGCAUAAAAGUCGACAUUGCAUGAUGUUGACUUGAAAGGUGCAAUUGCAUCACUAAGAGAUGGACCUGCGUUGUGUUAGCUAGUUGGUGAGGUAACGGCUCACCAAGGCGACGAUACAUAGCCGACCUGAGAGGGUGAUCGGCCACACUGGGACUGAGACACGGCCCAGACUCCUACGGGAGGCAGCAGUAGGGAAUCUUCGGCAAUGGGGGCAACCCUGACCGAGCAACGCCGCGUGAGUGAAGAAGGUUUUCGGAUCGUAAAGCUCUGUUGUAAGAGAAGAACGAGUGUGAGAGUGGAAAGUUCACACUGUGACGGUAACUUACCAGAAAGGGACGGCUAACUACGUGCCAGCAGCCGCGGUAAUACGUAGGUCCCGAGCGUUAUCCGGAUUUAUUGGGCGUAAAGCGAGCGCAGGCGGUUAGAUAAGUCUGAAGUUAAAGGCUGUGGCUUAACCAUAGUACGCUUUGGAAACUGUUUAACUUGAGUGCAGAAGGGGAGAGUGGAAUUCCAUGUGUAGCGGUGAAAUGCGUAGAUAUAUGG